AUACGGAGGAUCCGAGCGUUAUCCGGAUUUAUUGGGUUUAAAGGGAGCGUAGGCGGCUGUUUAAGUCAGUUGUGAAAUCUUGCGGCUCAACCGUGAAAUUGCAAUUGAUACUGGUAGUCUUGAGUACAUUUGAUGUGGGCGGAAUGCGUGGUGUAGCGGUGAAAUGCUUAGAUAUUACAAAGAACACCGAUUGCGAAGGCAGCUCACAAGACUGUAACUGACGCUGAUGCACGAAAGUGUGGGGAUCAAACAGGAUUAGAUACCCUGGUAGUCCACGCCGUAAACGAUGAACACUCGCUGUAUGCGAUACACAGUAAGCGGCCAAGCGAAAGCAUUAAGUAAUCCACCUGGGGAGUACGAUCGCAAGGGUGA
This 372-nucleotide ribosomal RNA is filed under the name uncultured bacterium. RNAcentral describes it as "bacterial SSU rRNA". It matches the Rfam family "Bacterial small subunit ribosomal RNA", at positions 523 to 897 of the family's 1533-position model. The record is from RNAcentral.